AUGCUGUCAUGCUUUGCCAUGGAGGUAAAUGAGCCGAUGUGUACCAGGGAAUAUGCAUAUACACCACACCUAAUCCACCACUAUUUUCUUGUGGCGACUGGCGAGGAGAAGAUACAAAUGCCUUCAAAUCCACCACUUAUCCCCACUACUAUUUCUUUGGCCAAUGACCUGGGUUUCCAUGUACUUGAUAGAUAUAUACUUUCCUUAUGCUAUGUGUUUUAUGUAUGCAUAUAUGUUUCUGGCCAUAAAUAUAUUUAUGAGCUGGCUCCAACUUUUACAACUUUCCGUGGAACUUUGAAAAGUACCCUUUAA
This 312-nucleotide ribosomal RNA is filed under the name Triticum aestivum (bread wheat). RNAcentral's name for it is "partial small subunit ribosomal RNA". Lineage: Eukaryota; Viridiplantae; Streptophyta; Magnoliopsida; Poales; Poaceae. The record is from RNAcentral.